RNAcentral lists this ribosomal RNA (301 nucleotides) under uncultured bacterium. RNAcentral describes it as "partial 16S ribosomal RNA". It matches the Rfam family "Bacterial small subunit ribosomal RNA", at positions 509 to 807 of the family's 1533-position model. The record is from RNAcentral.
CAGUAGCCGCGGGAAUACAGAGGGUGCAAGCGUUAAUCGGAAUUACUGGGCGUAAAGCGCGCGUAGGUGGUUUGUUAAGUUGGAUGUGAAAGCCCCGGGCUCAACCUGGGAACUGCAUCCAAAACUGGCAAGCUAGAGUACGGUAGAGGGUGGUGGAAUUUCCUGUGUAGCGGUGAAAUGCGUAGAUAUAGGAAGGAACACCAGUGGCGAAGGCGACCACCUGGACUGAUACUGACACUGAGGUGCGAAAGCGUGGGGAGCAAACAGGAUUAGAUACCCGGGUAGUCCCUGUCUCUUAUAC